UUAGUGAGUUGAACACCCCUUCAACCGAGACCUAUAGGGUGUCUAAAUCACGUCUCUCAUACCUUUCUCUGAGGGUGAGAAAGGAAUAUUUUACCGA
The submitters of this non-coding RNA (97 nucleotides) gave its source as unclassified sequences. The record is from Rfam.